GUGAGGAAUAUUCGGCAAUGGGGGGAACCCUGACCGAGCAACGCCGCGUGGAGGAAGACGGUUUUCGGAUUGUAAACUCCUUUUCUAUGGGAAGAGCAAGGACGGUACCAUAGGAAUCAGUCACGGCUAACUACGUGCCAGCAGCCGCGGUAAUACGUAGGUGGCAAGCGUUAUCCGGAAUUACUGGGCGUAAAGCGCACGCAGGUGGCUGCUUAAGUCUGACGUGAAAGCUCCUGGCUUAACUGGGAGAGGUCGUUGGCAACUGGGCGGCUUGAGGCGAGGAGAGGGGCGUAGAAUUCCCGGUGUAGUGGUGGAAUGCGUAGAUAUCGGGGGGAAUACCAGAGGCGCAAGCGGCGCCCUGGCCUGUGCCUGACACUCAUGUGCGAAAGCGUGGGGAGCGAACGGGAUUAGAAACCCCUGUAGUCC
This 426-nucleotide ribosomal RNA is filed under the name uncultured bacterium. Its description in RNAcentral is "bacterial SSU rRNA". It matches the Rfam family "Bacterial small subunit ribosomal RNA", at positions 354 to 796 of the family's 1533-position model. The record is from RNAcentral.